Long non-coding RNA from Homo sapiens (human), 1376 nucleotides. The record is from Ensembl. Lineage: Eukaryota; Metazoa; Chordata; Mammalia; Primates; Hominidae.
UGUGCGGACCUCCGAGCUACACCGUCUCCAACCAACAGAAGCCAGCAGGAACCUGCCUUAGAUGUGGGAAUGAGACAACACAACUUCUCCCAUAGGCCUGGUGGUCAGAGAGGCUGGAUCAAGAAUCUCCACAGCCCAGCGAGAAGCCACGCGAACACACCCCUGUGUGGGUAUCCGUGACCUGGCGGCCUGCAGAACUCCUGGGCCAGAGACGUCCUCAUCCUGUUGGAAUAUCCAGGUAUCUCCACUCCGAAUAUCCUCAUCUUCCUGGAACCCCUCUUUUUCUCCUAACAUUCUCUUAAAUGAAAUUCCAUAUCUGCUACAACACAGAAAGAGAGGCGGAACAAGAAAAACUGGUGAUCCACUAAUAAGAAGGCCCUGGAGCCUCUCGAUGUUUAAUCUUCUCAAGGGAUGAGAAUGUGUCUCGUACUUCUCAGCAUCUGAAACGCAGCCUUCGCUAAUGGGUCAGUUUCACUGGACGUACUCCCAGGAUCAUAGAUGGCAGCCGGGGAAGGCAGUGAGGGUGGAAAUGUCUCACUAGGCUGAAUUGAAGUGAGGCCUACCCGUUGCCUCCUUUGCAUGUGUUUAAGUAUUAGAAGAAUCUAGUAAUUUGCCCAUAAGAGAUAAUCAAACAAGAAAACAAAGGUGUAUGUGCAAAGAUUUGAAUCUUAGCUUUAUUUGAAAUAACAGAAAAUUGGAAGUCAAUUCAUGUCCAUCAGCGUGGGGCUGGCCACCUGCCAAUUCAUGUCCAUUUCCCUGGAGGGAAAUGACCCAACCAUGGAGAGAACGAUGUUCACUGAUUGCAUUGGCGUGGCAAGAACUCCAUGGCAUGUUGCAUCAUGAAGAAAGCUGCCCCGCAAAAUGAGAUGCGAUUGACGUUGAUGUGUCUGUACUUGUGCAAAGAGAGAUUUGGGAAAGGAAGUUUACUGAAGUGUUAACAAUGGGUUACAAGUUUUGAAGUGAUUUUAAUUUCUUUUUUUUUAAGUUUCUGUUAGGCUGGGAUUUUCCCCAUAGAUAUGCAUCAUCUAUGUCAGCAAUCCCCAACCUUUUGGGCACCAGGACAGGUUUCGUGAAAGACAAUUUUUCCACGGACCAGGAGUGGGAGGGACGGUUUCAGGAUGAUUCAAGCACAUUACGUUUAUCAUUAGAUUCUCACAAGGAGCAUGCAAGCUAGAUCCCUUGCAUGCCCAGUUCACAAUAGGGUUCGUGCUCCUAUGAGAAUCUGAUGUUGCCACUGGUCUGACAGGAGGUGGAGCUCAGCUUCGCUCACUUGCCCCACCACUCACCUCCUGCUGUGCAGCCCAGUUCCUAACAGGCCACAGACCAGUAUACCAGUCUGUCACCUGGGGGUUGGGGAUCCCUGAUUUUUGUAAUUG